UGCAUGUCGCUUGUAUGUGCGCCUUUCUGGUUUCAAGACAGUUGAGAAAAGGCACUUAUCUACAGUGAUUGACACGCUUUAAAUGGGUGGGUCGUCCCUGGUGUCGGACAGUCAGAGUAGUUUUUGGUUUUGUUAGUCUUAUCAUUUUAGUAGGCAAUCAAUUCGGACUACCAACUAGGCCCCGGGGUGUAAUUCAAACAAGUGUUGGGACAUCUAUUUGAGCCUGGCUGCUAUAACCAGGAUUACAAACUUGGAACGUUUACAGUAUGAAGAUGGUAGGAAUCCUGAUGCAGUAGAUGUGACUAAGGGUCUGGGAACUUGGAAGCUUUGCGAUUGGACCUGGACCAGGAAGGCCUUUUGGGGGUUGCAAAUCUGCCCCCCACCCCCCACCCUUCUAAUCUACCAUAGGGUGGGAGGAAAAGGCCUCUUGCUCAGCCCUGUCAGGAAUGGGACGGAUUACAUUUAUACUCUGGAUUGGGUAGUCACCCCCCCCCCCCCCCCCCACCCCACCCUUUUUAAAAAAAUAUAAAACUUAUCGUAACCAGUCUGUGGCAUGUCUGUGCUGUGGAAAUAUUUUUGAGCAACCAAAAUGGUAUGCCAGUUGGGAUCAGCUGCUAAAUUUAUAUGCUGAGACUGUUUUAAUGAAGCACCUUUUUGGAAUGUGAGAAUUACAAUGGUAAAUAUAGCCCUAGUAAAUCUGGUUAAUCUGUUUUUUGUUGAAUGGCUUAAGUACUUUCCAGCGGGUAUGAGGGUUUAAACCAGUGUUGUGAAAUUUCCAUGCACGGCUAAAUGGUUAUGAUGUGAAACCUUAGCAGUCUGAAUUUAGUGUCACUGUUUGGGUGACACUAAAGUGAUCGUGUUUCCCAUCCUAAUAACCAUUACUUGAACAUUUGCUUGUUUUGCUGAAGAAAAUCAGUGUGGGGUCAGUUUGGGAAAUCCCUUGGGAUUUUGGAACUAUGUAGUCUAAAAGUGUUCUAGCCUUUUGCCUUUGCUCAAGUUUAACUCCUUUUAAAGGAACAAUGUGUGGAAAUGUGUAGAAAACUGUAAAAGCAGAUUUUAUUGAUUAUUUUUGGGUAAUUUUGGAUUUGACAAUUGCUCCCAACCAGGUAUAUUGGAAU
Molecule: long non-coding RNA, 1118 nt
Organism: Anguilla rostrata (American eel)
Lineage: Eukaryota; Metazoa; Chordata; Actinopteri; Anguilliformes; Anguillidae
Exons: 3
Source: RefSeq, a predicted model, not a curated record